UGGGGAAUUUUGGACAAUGGGCGAAAGCCUGAUCCAGCAAUGCCGCGUGUGUGAAGAAGGCCUUCGGGUUGUAAAGCACUUUUGUCCGGAAAGAAAUGGCUCUGGUUAAUACCUGGGGUCGAUGACGGUACCGGAAGAAUAAGGACCGGCUAACUACGUGCCAGCAGCCGCGGUAAUACGUAGGGUCCAAGCGUUAAUCGGAAUUACUGGGCGUAAAGCGUGCGCAGGCGGUUGUGCAAGACCGAUGUGAAAUCCCCGAGCUUAACUUGGGAAUUGCAUUGGUGACUGCACGGCUAGAGUGUGUCAGAGGGGGGUAGAAUUCCACGUGUAGCAGUGAAAUGCGUAGAGAUGUGGAGGAAUACCGAUGGCGAAGGCAGCCCCCUGGGAUAACACUGACGCCCAUGCACGAAAGCGUGGGGAGCAAACAGG
RNAcentral lists this ribosomal RNA (429 nucleotides) under Bacillota bacterium. RNAcentral describes it as "Firmicutes bacterium partial 16S ribosomal RNA". It matches the Rfam family "Bacterial small subunit ribosomal RNA", at positions 355 to 776 of the family's 1533-position model. Lineage: Bacteria; Bacillati; Bacillota. The record is from RNAcentral.